RNAcentral lists this unclassified non-coding RNA (342 nucleotides) under soil metagenome. RNAcentral's name for it is "partial contains 5.8S ribosomal RNA, internal transcribed spacer 2, and large subunit ribosomal RNA". The stretch from base 1 to 120 matches the Rfam family "5.8S ribosomal RNA", at positions 35 to 154 of the family's 154-position model. The record is from RNAcentral.
GAUGAAGAACGCAGCGAAAUGCGAUAAGUAAUGUGAAUUGCAGAAUUCAGUGAAUCAUCGAAUCUUUGAACGCACAUUGCGCCCGCUAGUAUUCUGGCGGGCAUGCCUGUCCGAGCGUCAUUUCAACCCUCAAGCCCCCGGGCUUGGUGUUGGGGAUCGGCGAGCCUCCGCGCCCGCCGUCCCCUAAAUCUAGUGGCGGUCUCGCUGUAGCUUCCUCUGCGUAGUAGCACACCUCGCACUGGGAAACAGCGCGGCCACGCCGUUAAACCCCCAACUUCUGAACGUUUGACCUCGGAUCAGGUAGGAAUACCCGCUGAACUUAAGCAUAUCAAUAGCGGAGGA